Molecule: non-coding RNA, 584 nt
Organism: Paramuricea clavata
Lineage: Eukaryota; Metazoa; Cnidaria; Anthozoa; Malacalcyonacea; Plexauridae
Source: the annotation of a GenBank genome assembly
CAAAGUAAAAUGCGAAGUCGUUUUACUUAUAUUAGGGAAUGUUGGGCAUAUAAAACGGACUUAGCCGCUGACUACAAAAGCGGGAGCAAAAUGUCCCAUAUUUCUGGUAAUGAUGAGAUUUCCAACUAGUAACAAAUAUCAUCAAACAAUUUAACAUUGCGGGAAGAUGUAACCAUAGAUAUCUUAUAUACACUAGAUAGUGCAUCUAAUUAUUCUGUAAUUCAAAAAUUGAAGUCGUGAUUGCAGACUCAGAAUAUUUCCAUGAAAUGAGAAGAUUCGUUUGUUUUCUAUUUCUUAAACAGGGAACUUAAACAUUAAGUUAAACCUAUUCCAAAUACAUUUUCAAACUAUUCAAAUGAUGAAAGUUAUUGUUGUUUGUUAAGCGUUUAUUAGCGAGUGGGAAACUCCAACAUGGCCGCCAUCUAUUCAAAUGGGGGUAACCGCUGGAAUAUUCUUGGCUUCAAUUUUACUUAAAGAGAUGCGCUAUCUAGUGUAUAUAAGAUAUCUAUGGAUGUAACUCGAGACUAGAUCCAAACUUGACUAGCAGACAAUUUGAUGGAGACAGUAGAAUCCUGAAAGAAGCU